GAUGAACGCUGGCGGCGUGCCUAAUACAUGCAAGUCGAGCGAAUGGAUUAAGAGCUUGCUCUUAUGAAGUUAGCGGCGGACGGGUGAGUAACACGUGGGUAACCUGCCCAUAAGACUGGGAUAACUCCGGGAAACCGGGGCUAAUACCGGAUAACAUUUUGAACCGCAUGGUUCGAAAUUGAAAGGCGGCUUCGGCUGUCACUUAUGGAUGGACCCGCGUCGCAUUAGCUGGUUGGUGAGGUAACGGCUCACCAAGGCAACGAUGCGUAGCCGACCUGAGAGGGUGAUCGGCCACACUGGGACUGAGACACGGCCCAGACUCCUACGGGAGGCAGCAGUAGGGAAUCUUCCGCAAUGGACGAAAGUCUGACGGAGCAACGCCGCGUGAGUGAUGAAGGCUUUCGGGUCAUAAAACUCUGUUGUUAGGGAAGAACAAGUGCUAGUUGAAUAAGCUGGCACCUUGACGGUACCUAACCAGAAAGCCACGGCUAACUACGUACCAGCAGCCGCAGUAA
This 515-nucleotide ribosomal RNA is filed under the name uncultured bacterium. Its description in RNAcentral is "partial 16S ribosomal RNA". It matches the Rfam family "Bacterial small subunit ribosomal RNA", at positions 28 to 523 of the family's 1533-position model. The record is from RNAcentral.